GACGAACGCUGGCGGCGUGCUUAACACAUGCAAGUCGAACGAGAAGCUCAUAUUGGAACCUUCGGGUGAAGAGAUGAGUGGAAAGUGGCGAACGGGUGAGUAACGCGUAGGUAACCAACCUUAUACAGGGGGAUAGCCCAGGGAAACCUGGAUUAAACCCGCAUAAGACCACAUCAUUGCAUGAUGAAGUGGUAAAAACUACGGUGGUAUGAGACGGACCUGCGUCUUAUUAGGUAGUUGGUGAGGUAACUGCUCACCAAGCCAACGAUGAGUAGCCGACCUGAGAGGGUGAUCGGCCACAUUGGGACUGAGACACGGCCCAGACUCCUACGGGAGGCAGCAGUGGGGAAUAUUGCGCAAUGGGGGGAACCCUGACGCAGCAACGCCGCGUGAGUGAUGAAGGUUUUCGGAUCGUAAAGCUCUGUCUUGAGGGAAGAUAAUGACGGUACCUCAGGAGGAAGCCCCGGCUAACUACGUGCCAGCCGCCGCAGUAAAAC
RNAcentral lists this ribosomal RNA (497 nucleotides) under uncultured bacterium. Its description in RNAcentral is "bacterial SSU rRNA". It matches the Rfam family "Bacterial small subunit ribosomal RNA", at positions 28 to 526 of the family's 1533-position model. The record is from RNAcentral.